AACUUUUAGCAAGGGAUUACUCGGCUCUUGAAUCGAUGAAAAACACAGCUAACUGCGAUAAAUUGUAGGAAUUGCAGACACACUGAGCACAAAAAUUUCGAAUGCACCUUGCACAUCGUCUCUCACAACAACCUAAUUUAUUCUUGCGUGUAU
RNAcentral lists this ribosomal RNA (153 nucleotides) under Wuchereria bancrofti. Its description in RNAcentral is "5.8S ribosomal RNA". It matches the Rfam family "5.8S ribosomal RNA". Rfam says of the family: 5.8S ribosomal RNA (5.8S rRNA) is a component of the large subunit of the eukaryotic ribosome. The record is from Rfam by way of RNAcentral. Lineage: Eukaryota; Metazoa; Nematoda; Chromadorea; Rhabditida; Onchocercidae.